RNAcentral lists this ribosomal RNA (166 nucleotides) under uncultured bacterium. RNAcentral describes it as "partial 16S ribosomal RNA". It matches the Rfam family "Bacterial small subunit ribosomal RNA", at positions 1335 to 1500 of the family's 1533-position model. The record is from RNAcentral.
CUAGUAAUCGCGAAUCAGAAUGUCGCGGUGAAUACGUUCCCGGGUCUUGUACACACCGCCCGUCACACCAUGGGAGUCGGAAAUGCCCGAAGCCGGUGACUCAACCGCAAGGAGAGAGCCGUCGAAGGCAGGUCUGAUAACUGGGGUGAAGUCGUAACAAGGUAUC